RNAcentral lists this ribosomal RNA (460 nucleotides) under uncultured bacterium. RNAcentral's name for it is "partial 16S ribosomal RNA". It matches the Rfam family "Bacterial small subunit ribosomal RNA", at positions 338 to 795 of the family's 1533-position model. The record is from RNAcentral.
CCUACGGGAGGCAGCAGUGAGGAAUAUUGGUCAAUGGGCGCGAGCCUGAACCAGCCAAGUAGCGUGAAGGAUGACUGCCCUACGGGUUGUAAACUUCUUUUAUGAAGGAAUAAAGUGAGGCACGUGUGCCUUUUUGUAUGUACUUUAUGAAUAAGGAUCGGCUAACUCCGUGCCAGCAGCCGCGGUAAUACGGAGGAUCCGAGCGUUAUCCGGAUUUAUUGGGUUUAAAGGGAGCGUAGAUGGGUUGUUAAGUCAGUUGUGAAAGUUUGCGGCUCAACCGUAAAAUUGCAAUUGAUACUGGCAGUCUAGAGUACAGUUGAGGGAGGCGGAAUGCGUGGUGUAGCGGUGAAAUGCGUAGAGAUCACGAAGAACACCGAUUGCGAAGGCAGCUUACUAAACUGCCACUGACAUUGAUGCGCGAAAGUGUGGGUAUCAAACAGGAUUAGAUACCCGAGUAGUC